Molecule: ribosomal RNA, 777 nt
Filed under: uncultured Neocallimastigales
Lineage: Eukaryota; Fungi; Neocallimastigomycota; Neocallimastigomycetes; Neocallimastigales
Description: partial large subunit ribosomal RNA
Rfam family: Eukaryotic large subunit ribosomal RNA
Source: RNAcentral
CGAGCACGCGCGUGUGGCAUAUCAAUAAGCGGAGGAAAAGAAACUAACAAGGAUUCCCUUAGUAACGGCGAGUGAAGCGGGAAGAGCUCAAAUUUGAAAUCUUCAAGGUUCUACCUUGACGAAUUGUAGUUUAUAGAAGUGUUUUCUGUUAGUGGAGUGGCAAAAGUUCUUUGGAAUAGGACAUCAUAGAGGGUGAGAAUCCCGUAUUUGGUCAUUCCUCCUAGCGUUGUGAUACACUUUCAACGAGUCGGAUUGUUUGGGAAUGCAGUCCAAAAUGGGUGGUAAAUUUCAUCUAAAGCUAAAUAUUGGCGAGAGACCGAUAGCGAACAAGUACCGUGAGGGAAAGAUGAAAAGAACUUUGAGAAGAGAGUUAAACAGUACGUGAAAUUGUCAAAAGGGAAGCGUUUGACACCAGUGUUGUUUUUCCGAAAGUCAAUUACGAAUGUUUUAGUUUUUGAGGAGUUAUGACUUCAUCGGCUUGCUCCUUUCUUUAUGAAACUUUCUUAAUGCACUUUUCGGUUAACAAGUCAACAUCAAUUUCUUUUGUUGUAAAAGGGUAUGAGGAAGGUGGCUUUCUUUUCGGAGAAAGUGUUUAUAGCCUUGUGCCUCUGCAAUCGGAGAGAUUGAGGUCUGCAGCGUAGAUCCUUCGGGGUUAGAUACAUUUGUGCUAAGUUAUAGCUUUUCAUAGACAACUUGUUGACUAUGAUUAGUCAUUGUAGCUUACUCGCUUACUGCUAUUUUACCUACGCUUAGGAUGUUGAGCGCAUGUCUCUCUCU